AAACCAACAGGGAUUGUCUCAGUAACGGCGAGUGAAGCGACAAAAGCUCAAAUUUGAAAUCUGGCGCCUUCGGUGUCCGAGUUGUAAUUUGAAGAAGGUAACUUUGGUUUUGGCUCUUGUCUAUGUUCCUUGGAACAGGACGUCACAGAGGGUGAGAAUCCCGUGCGAUGAGAUGCCCAAUUCCAUGUAAAGUGCUUUCGAAGAGUCGAGUUGUUUGGGAAUGCAGCUCUAAGUGGGUGGUAAAUUCCAUCUAAAGCUAAAUAUUGGCGAGAGACCGAUAGCGAACAAGUACAGUGAUGGAAAGAUGAAAAGAACUUUGAAAAGAGAGUGAAAAAGUACGUGAAAUUGUUGAAAGGGAAGGGCUUGAGAUCAGACUUGGUAUUUUGUAUGUCUUGCUUUCGGGUAGGGCCUCUGCAGUUUAUCGGGCCAGCAUCAGUUUGGAUGGUAGGAUAAUGACAUUGGAACGUAGCACUGCUUCGGUGGUGUGUUAUAGACUUUGUUGAUACUGCCUGUCUAGACUGAGGACUGCGUCUUUUGACUAGGAUGCUGGCAUAAUGAUCCUAAGCCACCC
Molecule: ribosomal RNA, 571 nt
Filed under: Scheffersomyces ergatensis
Lineage: Eukaryota; Fungi; Ascomycota; Pichiomycetes; Serinales; Debaryomycetaceae
Description: partial 26S ribosomal RNA
Rfam family: Eukaryotic large subunit ribosomal RNA
Source: RNAcentral